GUCUACAGCCAUACCAUCCUGAACGUGCCCAAUCUCGUCUGACCUCGGAAACUAAGCAGAGUUGGGCCUGGUUAGUACUUGGAUGGGAAACCACCUAGGAAUACCAGGUGCUGUAGAUU
RNAcentral lists this ribosomal RNA (119 nucleotides) under Pteropus alecto (black flying fox). Lineage: Eukaryota; Metazoa; Chordata; Mammalia; Chiroptera; Pteropodidae. The record is from RNAcentral.